UGUCCCGUAUCUCUCCCGAUCCCUCUUCUCCGUCUUCCUCAUCUCGAGCGUCCUGCGCGAUAGGAUUCCUGGCUGCCGCUGCUCCGCCUCCCGGCAGCAUAUACCCCUUCCCGCCGCCGCCCCAAUGACCUGCUGCUCCGUCCUGACAAAGUUGCACCGCUAUGAGCCCCAGUGCGAUGCUCGACUUCCCUCUGCAGCCUCCGCCUCCUCUUCCCAAUCUGGGCAUAUGCACCGACUAGCAGUGGAGCUCGGGGAGGGGCGGCGGUGCCGGUUCUGGCGCGGGCGAGGUCGAGGUGGGCACAGCGGCGAAGGAGCACAGGUCGAGUGCGGCUAACGGUGGUGCGCUGGUCCGGCUGGGCGAGCUCGAGCCUUGCACGACGGCGGCGGAGCGCGGGUGGUGGGGUCAUCCGUCGAUUACGGAGUUUAUGUAAGAAGUUGGCUAGAAGAGAGGGCACCACUUGCGGUGGGUGAUUAGUAAUUUAAGGAGAAUAUUACAACGGGAAUGCGAGCGGCGCGGUGGAUUGGUAUCCACAAUGCUUUUGCCGCGUAUGAACUAGAGGUACAGUUUCACUACAAUAUUGAUGAUAAGUGCAACAUAUUGUGCAAAGGAAUGAAGAUGGUUUAUUUCUGCCUUUGUGGUGUUGUUUCCAUGCCGGUGCCGGUCAAUAUUUGACAGGCUUGUUUUGGCUGCGGAGGGUGUCCUCCCAGAUUUUUCUUUCUCCCCAUGGAUUACAGGGUAGGGGCUGUAGUGGUGGAUGCUUCCUGUCUGUCAUCAUGUGUUGAUGUUGGUGCGAUCCAUUGGGGUUUGGAUUAAGUGCUUUGUGGCUGCCUGGAUGUGGUGCUGUCGAUGGGUUUGUUUUUUUAGAAGAAAAGGGCUCUUGCCCCGGCUCCAUUUGAUUGAAUAAAACAAAGCCAAAUUUUUGUCGAUGGUUUAUUUGGUGUGGGUUAGUGUCUCAGUGUGGUGUUCAUCACUUUCGUGGGUGUUUCGUUUUAUAGGAUGUACCAUCGUUUGAUUUUUGUUAUAUGUUUGGUUGAGGUGUUUACUAAUCUGGUACAUUGUUGUCCAAUGGCUGCUUACAUAUAGGACCUUUACCUACAAUCUCCACGACCGGCCGGACAGCUUCUCUCUAAUUAAGAAGCCUGUCAAAUAUCCGCGAACCUCUGACUUGUAGUCCGUCAAUUGUAAAUGUAGGUCUUAUGGCUAAAAUAUGUGGAUUCAGAAUUUACUUGCCGAGUAGAGUGCCGAUGAUUUGAAGUUGUGAUGCAUUAAGGCAAGGAUCCUUAUUUUUCAUUUGUCAGCAUUCCUGUGUUAUUUCCAUAUUUUUGUUCUUGCGAUUUUCUCAUCUAGAUAAUUUGUUCAGAUCUCAUGAGGUUUGGAAAUUGGCAUCUUUCCAUUGCUUAGUACAGAAGCAUUUUUUAUGGCUGAAUAAAUCUUGGUACUUCUAGGUUUGCCGGGCGGUUUGAGGCCAAUGCCGGUGGUGCCAUUCGUGUUUAGGUGUGCGGCUGUCAGAUUUGGUCUUUCGCUUUGCUAUUGUCACUGUCUUUGUGUCACCUAGGCAGAGUUCGUCCUAUGGUCCCGCUGAUUUUCUUUUAGUUGGUCUUGCUGUUGUGUGGUCAUGUCGUUGUAUUUGGUUGAGCUCUAGGCUAGAUGGAGAGCGGUGCGGCUGGUCAUGUCUGGCACUGUCAGAAGCGCGCUGGUAUACUUGAUUGUGGCCAUACGGCCUUUUAUGUUUCAUCCCUUUUGUAUUCCCGUUGAUAAAAAAGGCGGAGCCACACCUUAAAUUGGCAUGGUGAUGUUGGAUGGCAGUUGGCCAGUCAGUUAGGUUGAUUAUUCAAGAAAUCAAUGUGUGUAUAUCUGACAAAAUGAUAAUCACAGUAAACUAAAAAGCUUAGAGGUUGAGUUUAAAAGAAAGUUCAGAAGCACUGAAGGCUCAUGUUUCUACGGUCAUAUUUAAAGCUCCAGUUCUGAGUGGUGUUUCUGAAAAAGAGAUUAUCAACAUCUGCAUAUGUACCAUGUGUUCAUAAUAGCAUUCAUGUCUCAUUCUUUGUUUGUCAUUAUUUUUCUCUCUGCAUAUUGUGGAGGUCCGGUUCAAAUUAUUGAUAUUUUCAUAUAAAUUUUAUAACUUACCAAACAAGGUCCUAAAAAAGUAGAGCCACAAGUUUCAGAAAUAAGAUGUUUAUAACUAUGCAGACAAGGUUCUGAACUUCUGAUAAAGAAGAUCCAAAAGUUUCAGAAAUAAGGUAGGGAAAAUGAAAGGUAAACCAUGCAGGCAAAUGACUUUGCAUAUCAAAGAACAACUAUUAAUAUGAGUAACUUAUACAUGCACAAUGGUAUGAAUGUCACAAUAAGACUUUACUUCUGCUAUUACCCUGUGUGUUGCUUCAGUAAAUUAAGUUUAUAUGCUUAGCUUGGUCUACAUAAUUUGAGGUUACUAUUUUUAGCCCCCUGAGCAAAUUUGCAGGUCAGCAACAGGUACGUAUAACAGAAUCCAUUAUGUUUUUCAGAUUCACUCCGAGAACAAGCUGAAUGGAGCUCCGUGGCACCAAAUGCAGUCGUGAAAAACACAAUUUAUAUGCAUACACGUGAUUUAAAAGUGCAUUGUGAACUUCUUAUGCUACAUGUGUUGUUUUUAAAAUUGAUUGAGAUAGUUUAGUGGCCUUACCAUGUUUAACAAUCUCUAACUCAUGAAGGGAAGUCAUGCUUACAAUAGUGUUGAUUGUAAGGUCGAUGAAAAUCUGUCAUGUAUGCUGGACUAUGCUACAUGUUAUUCGUCAUUUUGGCAUCAACAUGCUAUACAAAUUUCUCUUGCUAA
Molecule: long non-coding RNA, 2813 nt
Organism: Triticum dicoccoides
Lineage: Eukaryota; Viridiplantae; Streptophyta; Magnoliopsida; Poales; Poaceae
Exons: 4
Source: RefSeq, a predicted model, not a curated record